AAAUAUAACACUCCCUAGUAAAUGCAUGCUUCACCUCUGGACUACCAAACACAAUGUCUGCUCGUGAUCUAAAUUAAGUUCCCCAUCCCCCUGCAUCCCUACCAGCUUUCUGCUGUGAGUUUUUUAUGAUCAUUCCUUACUGCCAAAUUUGCUGGAAACAGUCUUCUCAAUUUGCAUUUCUUCUUUU
Molecule: long non-coding RNA, 187 nt
Organism: Phyllostomus discolor (pale spear-nosed bat)
Lineage: Eukaryota; Metazoa; Chordata; Mammalia; Chiroptera; Phyllostomidae
Exons: 2
Source: RefSeq, a predicted model, not a curated record